Vulpes vulpes (red fox) is the source of this 161-nucleotide small nucleolar RNA. Ensembl annotates it as small nucleolar RNA SNORA67. The record is from Ensembl. Lineage: Eukaryota; Metazoa; Chordata; Mammalia; Carnivora; Canidae.
AUCCAAGGUGAUUCCCGUUCCAAGAGGCCUGCUCAUGCCCCUCUUCAUGUUACUUUUCCUCUUCAGGAAAGUAACAACUUAGAAUAAAAUCUGGCAUGCCUUCAGUUGCUGGCGGCGAGGAGAUUUCUGUUUCCUUGGCCUCCCUUUGGCUGCCGAAACGC